ACGGUAUAGGAUGGGCAUGCGUCCCAUUAGCUAGAUGGUGAGGUAACGGCUCACCAUGGCGACGAUGGGUAGGGGGCCUGAGAGGGUGGUCCCCCACACUGGUACUGAGACACGGACCAGACUCCUACGGGAGGCAGCAGUGAGGAAUAUUGGUCAAUGGGCGAGAGCCUGAACCAGCCAUGCCGCGUGCAGGAAGACGGUCCUAUGGAUUGUAAACUGCUUUUAUUUGGGAAUAAACUCCGGUACGUGUACCGGCCUGAAGGUACCAAAUGAAUAAGCACCGGCUAACUCCGUGCCAGCAGCCGCGGUAAUACGGAGGGUGCAAGCGUUAUCCGGAAUCAUUGGGUUUAAAGGGUCCGCAGGCGGUCUUAUAAGUCAGUGGUGAAAGCCUACAGCUCAACUGUAGAACUGCCAUUGAUACUGUAGGACUUGAAUUCGAUCGAAGUGGGCGGAAUAUGACAUGUAGCGGUGAAAUGCUUAGAUAUGUCAUAGAACACCGAUAGCGAAGGCAGCUCACUAGGUCUGGAUUGACGCUCAGGGACGAAAGCGUGGGGAGCAAACAGGAUUAGAU
This 571-nucleotide ribosomal RNA is filed under the name uncultured bacterium. Its description in RNAcentral is "bacterial SSU rRNA". It matches the Rfam family "Bacterial small subunit ribosomal RNA", at positions 215 to 783 of the family's 1533-position model. The record is from RNAcentral.